GUGGGGAAUAUUGCACAAUGGGCGAAAGCCUGAUGCAGCAACGCCGCGUGAGGGAAGACGGUCUUCGGAUUGUAAACCUCUGUCUUUAGUGAAGAAGACAGUGACGGUAGCUAAAGAGGAAGCCACGGCUAACUACGUGCCAGCAGCCGCGGUAAUACGUAGGUGGCAAGCGUUAUCCGGAAUUACUGGGUGUAAAGGGAGCGCAGGCGGGACUGCAAGUUGGAUGUGAAAUACCGCAGCUUAACUGCGGAGCUGCAUCCAAAACUGUAGUUCUUGAGUGAAGUAGAGGUAGGCGGAAUUCCGAGUGUAGCGGUGAAAUGCGUAGAUAUUCGGAGGAACACCGGUGGCGAAGGCGGCCUACUGGGCUUUUACUGACGCUGAGGCUCGAAAGUGUGGGGAGCAAACAGG
RNAcentral lists this ribosomal RNA (408 nucleotides) under uncultured bacterium. RNAcentral's name for it is "bacterial SSU rRNA". It matches the Rfam family "Bacterial small subunit ribosomal RNA", at positions 354 to 776 of the family's 1533-position model. The record is from RNAcentral.